RNAcentral lists this long non-coding RNA (1979 nucleotides) under Paramuricea clavata. The record is from RNAcentral. Lineage: Eukaryota; Metazoa; Cnidaria; Anthozoa; Malacalcyonacea; Plexauridae.
AUCCACCAAAGGGAAUACCAUCUUUAACAGCACUUUCCCAGCAUGUAUUUCCAAGUCAGCCAUCCUUUCUUAUUUAAAUUGUUCUUGUUAGAAGCUUGGAAUAGAGUGACCUUUGCACCAGCACAAUUAGGGUCAUUUAUGGUUAACAAUGUUUCGGGAUCUGGUGAGGUUUUAUCUACCAAAAUGACGCAUUUCCUUAAUGGUUCUUGGCGUUCUGGUCAGUGGCGAAGCCAGCGUCGUGUGAGUGGUCAUGCAAACGAGCGCCAAAGGCGUGAGACAUCCUAGGGGGGUCCGGAGGCAUGCCCCCCCGGAAAAUUUUUGAAAUAUAAACCCCAGAAACGCCAUUUGCAGCAAUCUGAGCAUCAAAUUUCGGAAAAUAGCUUGACCUAAUGAAGGAAAAGAUGCGGAUAUUUUGGCAUAUUUCAGACAACAAUAAUGAAGAUCAACACAAAAAUAGGAAAUCUGUGGUCUGCAGUUCCGCUAAUUAUAGUCAUACCGGCAAUUGUGUAUUUCUUUUCGAUACAUUAUGACAAAUAGCUGCUAAUACAGUCAGUAUAAUCUAGAAUAUAGGUAUAAUAUGCCGACUUGGUCACUUGGAAAAUAUCACGCAUGAGCCUUGAUUACAAUAUUAGAUACGGAAAGGAAUUAGGGAGUAUGUACCAAAUGGUAAAUACAAUUUAACGAUAUAUAUUGAAAUUUCUUUGUUUGUUUCACAAACAAAGAUAUAUCAAAUAUGUUGCUAAAUCACAAUCGCUAAAAUAUUUGUGUUGCGUGUUGAAAUGUAUAAGCCUUGCAGUGCUAUUUAUAGAACUACAUUGUUUACUACAUUGACCUCGACAUUGACAUUGUAUUUCAUACACUUUACAGUAUUAUACUAUAGAUAGCGCCUCGAUGCUUUAUACGCCUAUGCUCGGGUUGAAAGCUUAAAUAUUCAAGACAAAAUAACAAUAACUAAAUAAUACUAAUAGCUUAUUUAGCCUAAACCAUUCUUUCUUUGAAUACCACAACAUUUGAAAACCUUUCCCGAUCGGGCAUGUCGAAAGAUCUGGCGUUGGUCUCUGCUUGAUAAACAAUAAUAUUCUGCUGAGUAGAAAAUGGUUUUUUCACUAAUUCCCAAACAAUAUCGUUAGCUUCGAGUAAAGAAGAAGUCGACAUGCUUGAAUGACCUGAAGACGUCUUCAUUCAGGCUGAAAGCUUCGAGCUAAGAGGCUGUGAUCAGGUUGUGUUGCCCGUUUAGUCAUGCAAAUCGAAAAGUGCAUGACCAAGGCGUCAAAAACAGCUGCAUUGCGCAUGCGCGAACGUCGUAAGCCAAUCAGAAACCAACAAACCUAAUAUAAAAUAAUAUAGCUAGUCAUGAAAUUCUGAAAAUGCAUGACCAAAACACACAGCGAGCAAACCACGCAGCAAUCACACGCAAUCGUUUUCCACGCGCUUACGCAACCGGUCAUGCAUGGGAAAAUAUGCAGGUAACAAAGCCGAAAUCAAUAACAUACGAGAAUAUUUAGCGAAAAUAUCGACCUAAAGACCACUGAUUUGGGUAAACAAAAUAAUAAAUAAAAUACUUAGGCGUAGAAGUGCAAAGAUAAAGUAUAAUUCUAUUGUAAACAAUUAUACUGAACUGAUUUUUAAACAUUUUUGGGGAAAUUUUUAGUCAUGACCUGCAUGACCGCUGGCUUCGCCACUGGUUCUGGUAGGGUGUUACUUUCUGGGGCAUCUGGCAAACACUGCAAGUCUUCAACAAAAGGAUCUUGCUUCUCUUUCAAAUUGCCAAUGGAAUCCUACACAUGUGCGUUAAUAUGAUUGGAUGUGAAGGUUGGGGGUAUGAACUUUUCCACUGUUCCUAUUGUGUCAAAUAUUGUGUCAUUUGGUAACAUGCUGUGCUCUUUCUCAAGCACAUCACUGAUAUCUUGCUCUAGUAAAGGAAUCACUUUCCUUUGUUUCUUCACUGGAGAGGAAACAUCUACCACAUCAAUAUUUUU